Molecule: long non-coding RNA, 3315 nt
Organism: Mustela lutreola (European mink)
Lineage: Eukaryota; Metazoa; Chordata; Mammalia; Carnivora; Mustelidae
Exons: 2
Source: RefSeq, a predicted model, not a curated record
GCCCGAGCGCGCCUGAGCGGGGGCGGCUGGGUUUGGGGCCGCGUGUCCCGGGAGCCGAGGGCCCUCCGGCACAGCGCUCGCGAGUCAGCCGCGCGGUGUCGCGUGGGACCGGCAUGAGGGGCCGAGAGCGCGGCCGCCGGAGCCUUCCGUCGGGGGAAGCCAGGGCACGCUUCGGCGGUGGCCGGCGCUCCCCGGGGCGGCGCUGCGGGCCGAGGGCGGGCGGGGCCAGAUCCUGAAAGACCUUGGGUGCCGUCCCAAGGGGCUUAGACGGGACCGUCAUGGAGAGCUGAUGAAGGGUCUUUGUUUUAGUUUGGUUUGGGCAGGGAAGAGCUUGCCCUUUAUAAAGAUCAGUGGUUUGAAAAUCCUUUUGAGCAAGCAGAUAGCCUUCUGCAAAUCAAAUACCAAACGGAACAUAGACUUAAAAACCAGAUCAAGGUGUAGCUGCGGGCCAGCGCUGAGCAGGAGGAAGAGGCGUGGCACCCAGGGGAAGGCGGCCAGGCCACCCCAGAACGGGGGAUGCGCCAGCGAAACUGGAGGGUCUCCUCUUGUCCCCAAAGAAACUUAAGCCCAGAAGAGCGUUGGGGUGCCCCUCCCAACCCACCUGGUCUCCUGCCUCCCAGUCCACCCCAUUUUGUACCUCUGGUACCUUGCUUUUAGGGGUGGCUGGGGAGCACCUUCAGCUGCUCCUGGUCUUGUAGAGGUCUGGGAAAAGCCAGAAGCCGGUGGGCUGAGCCCUCUUCCUCUUCUCCAGCCAAGGCCAUCCUUUCUGCCUGGGCUGAGAAAAGCAACUCACCUUCUAGAGCUUCUUAACUCUGGUUGCUCUGAAAACAAAGAAACAAGAAACGAUGCCUCUAGAUUAGGUGAAGCAGCUUGGGGGACCUUGGAGGUCUUCUCCCUCAAUUCCUUAUCUUCUAGAUGAAGAUGGUGGAAUCCAGAGAGAUUGUCUCUCCCUCAGCCCCCAGCAUGGUGUCCAGGCGGAAACAGGAACCACUCAUUUGUUCUUUCAGCUGAUCACAACCUGGCCCCCUAGGGGAUGGGGACGGCCCCCAGCCUGGUGGAGACCCACACAGGACACAGCAGCUGGGCGGCGGGGCUGGGGGUCUCCGUGUGGGGUCCUGCGCACUCUCAUAGGGGAUGCUCUUAAGGCAAACCAGAGCUAACAAGACCCUCCUCCUUCAUCGGAAUUGAAAAUGCCACUGAUUUUCCUUUUUUUCAACAGUAAGAAAGGGCAGUCAUCAGGACACUUCGUUGUGAGAAGAACCCAGCUGAAACCAGCCUGGUCAAAUGGAGGUCAUUCAAAGGCAGGCUCUUGGGGGGGGGGGGGUAUCUCUGCAGUUGGAGGGGAGCCGUGUGCCUGGCAUGCAGCUCGCUCUGGGCACUGGUGCCUUUGUCCCCGCAAACUGGCAGCAAAGUGAAUGAAGAGACGAUGCAGGUGAGAACAGGCUACAGUGUGACCCUUGAGGGGAGGCCCCUGGGCUUACACCCAACUGUCUUCUUACCUCAGUAGCAGGGACCAUGUCUGGUUUAAUUGGCUCUGCAGCAUCUAGAACAUUCCUGAUUCAGCAAGCACUUCAUGUCUACUGAAUGAGCAACCAUGAGGAUCUGCCGUCAUCUAGCCUGGAGUCUAGCAGGGGGAUGGAGAGUGAAGCACUUGAUACCUGUCCUGAAGUAUACUUAAAGAAUUUAUGAAGUAGAUUCUUGAGGAGCCAAGUCAGUUAAAAUCCUAAAUCUUCAAAGCUCCCUUGAAAGGUAAUUUUCAUAGUCCUUAAAUUUUAAUUGUCAUUGUUUAUUACUGUUUUGGCUACAUUCUCUACAAUUUCAGCAGCAUCUUAAAGAGACAAUGUGUCUGUAUGUACAAUGAAACAAAAUGGCUUGCAACAUGAGAAAUAAGAGCCACAGUUUAACUGUACAAUAUUAAGGAGAAUCUGUGGUUAUCACCUCCUUUUUCGGCAACAUGGACAAUUUACAUGUAAGUAUCAGUAUUGUGAAUGUGACAAAUAAUUCUUACAGGAGUAAAAUAUAACAUCCUGAAAAAUAAUGGUUUCUACCAUACAACGCAGUUAGAAAUGUUCACAUUUUAACAAAUCUGUACAAACCACAAGAAACUUAUUUAUGGGACCAUCAUCUCACCUUUCUGAUAAGAACCUUCUAGAAAUGUAGGAGAAACAUGAACAAUUUAUAAAUCUAGUUAUCUAUGUGCUCCAUAGCCCUAGAAACCAAGAAUCUGACUGAAUGAACCCUAUAUAUCCAAGAUGGGUCAUUUUUACAUGCCUUGAUUGUUAAUGAAUGCCAGCCUUUAAUAUCUCUCUAUGAUGUACAGUCAACUUGCACCUUUAAGGAGGUCAUUAGAUUUUUUAGCAAAGAAGCAACAUCAUUUAGCAGCAAUUAAAGCGCCUUCAAGAAGACUUAAAAAAAAUACAAUAUCCAAUUAGAAAAGCCAUAUUUUUAAACAUUUGUACAAGAAUAAGCUGCUGAAACUUGGUAAUUGAAAUACAACAUCUGUACAACAAUUUACAAUAGAGCUAGAAGGGAAUUUAUCAUUAUCCUGCAUAGAACUGGUCUGAUCUGCAUUUGGUUACAUACUGUCACUUGUUUAUGAACAAGGCCUGGUAACAAAGGGAAAAUAUCUUAAUUCAAACAUGUUGAAAACAGAGAUAUUUAGUGAAUUCAACUGAUUUUAAAACAAGCAGCUCAUUUUGUCAAAGGUGUAAAGUGUUUUAGGAGUAACAGCUAUCCUGUUAAUGACUAGUGGGAAAAAAAAAAAAAAAACAAUAAAACAAAAAUGGACACAUGGUUUCGAGGUACAACUUGGUAAAAGCCAAAAUAGGCAAAUGACAAAGUCUAACUAUGUCUAAUGAUUCUAACUCUCACAUUCUACUAUAAAACACAAAUGUCACUGUCAUUCAGUUCUUACUUUGGUUUCAGCAGAUUAACUGCUGAAUGCUGAAGAAUGUAUCCAGGCACUAUAGUUCUUGUGUUAGAAAUAUUUUUUCCAUGUGUUUUUAAAUAAUGAAAAACUACCCUUCAUAUUAGAACUCUCUAGUAACAACCAAAUGUAUUUAAGUAUUAUAAACGUUAUUUACAGUGUUCCCCCAAACAGUUUUUCUUAACAUGGUAUUCCUGUUUCUGUGCAACAGGCAGUCAUCCUUCACUGCUCAAGGAUAUAGUCAAAAGUGUACAUUUUAUUCAUUGUCCAUGAUCCACUCUCAUACAAAUGACGCCAUGAAGAACUUCAGUUCACAAAUAGUUCUCAACCAUGUCCUGCGUGAGGAAAAAAAAAAAAAAAAAAAACAAAAAAAACAGAAAACAAUCAAA